Molecule: ribosomal RNA, 484 nt
Filed under: uncultured bacterium
Lineage: Bacteria
Description: partial 16S ribosomal RNA
Rfam family: Bacterial small subunit ribosomal RNA
Source: RNAcentral
AGUGAACGCUGGCGGCGUGCUUAACACAUGCAAGUCGAACGAGAACGGGUUAUAGCUUGCUAUAAUUGUCAGCUAAGUGGCGCACGGGUGAGUAAUGUAUAGGUAAUAUGCCUCUUACUAAAGGAUAACAAAUGGAAACGUUUGCUAAUACCUUAUACUCCUUAUUAACAGAAGUUAAUAGGGGAAAGAUUUAUUGGUAAGAGAUUAGCCUGUAUUGUAUCAGUUAGUUGGUGGGGUAAUGGCUUACCAAGACUAUGACACAUAACUGGUUUGAGAGGAUGAUCAGUCACACUGGAACUGAGACACGGUCCAGACUCCUACGGGAGGCAGCAGUGGGGAAUAUUGCACAAUGGACGAAAGUCUGAUGCAGCAACGCCGCGUGGAGGAUGACACAUUUCGGUGCGUAAACUCCUUUUAUAUGAGAAGAUAAUGACGGUAUUAUAUGAAUAAGCACCGGCUAACUCCGUGCCAGCAGCCGCAGUAA